RNAcentral lists this ribosomal RNA (503 nucleotides) under uncultured Glomeromycotina. RNAcentral's name for it is "SSU rRNA". It matches the Rfam family "Eukaryotic small subunit ribosomal RNA", at positions 591 to 1097 of the family's 1831-position model. The record is from RNAcentral. Lineage: Eukaryota; Fungi; Glomeromycota.
CCAAUAGCGUAUAUUAAAGUUGUUGCAGUUAAAAAGCUCGUAGUUGAAUUUCGGGAUCAAUGCGUCGGUCGUGCCUUCGGUACGUACUAGCGUCAUUGAUUCCUCCCUUCUGAAGAACCGUGAUGUCAUUAAUUUGGUGUUACGGGGAAUCAGGACUGUUACCUUGAAAAAUUAGAGUGUUUAAAGCAGGCUAACGCUUGAAUACAUUAGCAUGGAAUAAUGAAAUAGGACGUUCGAACCUAUUUUGUUGGUUUCUAGGAUCGACGUAAUGAUUAAUAGGGAUAGUUGGGGGCAUUAGUAUUCAAUUGUCAGAGGUGAAAUUCUUGGAUUUAUUGAAGACUGACUACUGCGAAAGCAUUUGCCAAGGAUGUUUUCAUUAAUCAAGAACGAAAGUUAGGGGAUCGAAGACGAUCAGAUACCGUCGUAGUCUUAACCAUAAACUAUGCCGACUAGGGAUCGGAUGAUGUUAAUUUAUAAUGACUCAUUCGGCGCCUUACGGGAAA